RNAcentral lists this ribosomal RNA (253 nucleotides) under uncultured bacterium. RNAcentral describes it as "partial 16S ribosomal RNA". It matches the Rfam family "Bacterial small subunit ribosomal RNA", at positions 524 to 776 of the family's 1533-position model. The record is from RNAcentral.
UACAGAGGGCCCAAGCGUUGUUCGGAUUCACUGGGCGUAAAGGGUGCGUAGGCGGUCGGGUAAGUCUGACGUGAAAUCUUCAAGCUUAACUUGGAAACUGCGUCGGAUACUAUUCGGCUAGAGGAAUGGAGGGGAGACUGGAAUACUUGGUGUAGCAGUGAAAUGCGUAGAUAUCAAGUGGAACACCAGUGGCGAAGGCGAGUCUCUGGACAUUUCCUGACGCUGAGGCACGAAAGCCAGGGGAGCAAACGGG